GAUGAACAAUGGAGCAGAGAGGUUUAGAAUAACCACCAGUGAUACUGCUAUUCAAUUAGACCUGAUAGCAAAAGUACAUGGAAUAUCAAGUGCUGAAGAAUACUUCAUAAAGUUGCCAGACACCUUAAAAGAUAAGCGGAUAUAUGGGUCUCUUUUAAAUGCGUUUGUGCGGUCUAGAAAGAAGGAACAAGCUGAAUCUUUACUUGAGAAAAUGAGAAACAGAGGCUACACUGAUCAUGCUCUUCCGUUCAAUGUGAUGAUGACACUCUAUAUGAACCUUAAAGACUACGACAAGGUUGAGUCAGUUGUUUCAGAAAUGAAAGAGAAACAAAUUCCAUUAGAUAUAUAUUCGUACAAUAUCUGGUUGUCAUCUUGUGGAUCUCAAGGAUCUAUAGAAAAAAUGGAAAAAGUACUUGAACAAAUGAAUCUGGACGCUGAUAUCAAUCCAAAUUGGACUACAUUUAGCACUAUGGCUACUAUGUACAUUAAGUUGGGGCAGUUGGAAAAAGCUGAAGAUUCUUUAAGAAAUGUUGAGAGCAGAAUCACAGGUCGUGAUCGAAUUCCAUAUCAUUAUCUCAUCAGUCUCUAUGGUAGUCUUGGUAAAAAGGAAGAGGUUCUCCGGAUCUGGAAAACCUACCAAUCGCAGUUUUCAAAUAUUCCAAACCUGGGUUAUCAUUCUGUAAUAUCUUCUCUGGUGAGGUUGGAUGAUAUUGAAGGUGCAGAAAAGAUAUAUGAUGAGUGGCUACCCAUUAAGGUGCACUAUGAUCCUAGAAUAGGAAAUCUGUUGUUGGGUUAUUAUGUGAGGAAGGGUUUUCUGGACAAGUCUAGUGCUUUCUUCGACCAAAUGAUUGAAGCUGGAGGAAAGCCAAACUCAAUGACAUAUGAGAUCCUUGCCGAAGGCCAUAUCAGGGAACGGAGAAUAUCUGAGGCUUUGUCAUGCUUGAAGGAUGCUGUUUCAACUGAGGGAUCCAAGAGCUGGAGACCAAAACCUGCAAAUGUAUCUUCCAUUCUCAGGCUUUGUGAGCAGGAAGAGGAUACACAAAGUAAAGAAGCCCUGUUGGAGGUGUUGAAGCAAGUUGGAUGUCUUGACGAUGAAAAGUACAUGUCAUAUAUUCCAUUAUCAAAUGGUACAUUUACCAGUACUGAGCCAGAUACAUCUGAUAAUGACGAAGGAUCUGACAUACUGCUCAACCAAUUGCAAGAAAGCUUGUAAAGACGCUAUUUUUCCAGGUACAUGCAUUGGGGAUAAUGCCUCGUGCAACUGGAUUUUUGGUGCGUGGAUACUCGAGUAAAGCAAAAGUCUUGUGUAGAGCUAAGAAGCAAGACAUUCAUGAUAGACUCAUAUCUACUGAUCUUUGUAUUUUUUUCUUAGGUUUAUGAAGAUCCAUGUCACUAUAUAUGUAGUAUAUUGAACAUCAAGUAGAAGUUUAUCAUUUUAGCUUUGCGAAUCAAUACACAUGUUUUACCAGAGGUGUCACAGAAGUGUGUUGCAGGUUUAUUUGUAAAUAUGAUGAAUUUUGCAUCAAUCUAUUUGAGGUUCAACUAGAAGAUUUCAUAUUCCUUAUACACUUAGUAUUAUCGAUUUUCUGUAAGUUGUCGAUAUUGUUUUAGAAACUUGGGCAAAUAGUGGUUUUGCUCCUUGAGUUAUUGACUUAUUCCAAUUCUGAUCCUUGUAUUAUUUGGCUACAGUAGUAAAGAAGAAGAAACAAAUAGAAAGGAGUGUAACUUGUUGCAGCUAUCAGUGUGUAACUUUAUUUUGAUGAUACUAUUCUCACUGUUAGUUAGGUGAGUGCAUUAGAGUGGAGGAGCCACAAUCUUACACAACAUGUUAAUUUUCUCAUACUAAUUGCUGCUCCGUACGUCUUCCGUUUUGAUUUUAUGUGGAUCCACGACCCAAAACAUGUAAUAAUUUCCUCAUCAAGGGGUGUUCUUUAAUUUGUAGUACGUAGUUUGUUUAUGUGGAGGACAGAAAUGGUUGCCAACAUAAAUAAGUAGGAACCCCAUCACCACAAAGAGGAACAAAUCAAGUUGGGAGUAUCAUGCCUAGUCCAAGCUUAAGCAUUAAAGCCCUAAGAUACGGAAACGUUGGUGAUGGCAUCUUUUUAGUAUCACUAGCAUAUGUAUUCGUGAGAUGCACGGACUAAAGUUAUUGAAUGACUACGUCCCCCCUCCUCCCACACUCCAACCCCGCCUUUUUUUUCCUUAUUUAUUUUCUUCUUUCUUCUUUUUUACUAUUUUUUUCUUAUAUUAUUAUUAUUGCUAUUAUUACUAUUACCACUACUAUAUUUAAUUAUUACUAUUAUUUAUUUAAAAUUCAAAUUAAAUAUAUUCAACUAUAUUUUAUAAUAUUUGAGAGGAUAUAUUCUUAUGAAAUAGUUAGAAUUGAUUUAGAACUCUUUUAAGUCUCAAGCCAUGAGUUUCAUAGUGCUAGUCUGCUCCUUGUGAGGAUGCUAACUUGAAGGGGCUGAAGUUUGAUGCAGAGCUUUUUGUUUGUUAAGUUAUAGAAGGACCGAGCAACAUUCUACAACUCCAGUCCUUCAAAAGUGGACUAAGUAGUCCUCAAGGAGUCCGUUUAUUCCCUCCAUUUGAACUUUCAAAGAUACACCGACCGUAGGUAUUUCAGAAAUUUCGCUUAGUUCAAAUUAUGUGUUUCUUAAAGAUAAAUACCACUUAGGAGCUUCCUAGUUAUUGCAUACAAAUCUACUCAAGUCCACCUUAUGCAUGCCACAUCUUAAUUGGUGAAAGAGCCUACAACUGUUCAGUAUGCGUACCAAUGGGGGCAAAAGUCAUGAUACAUGAUUAUUUUGAUAUUUCAAAGUCUCCUUGAAGGACUUUUGACAAUGACUCAUUUCUACUUACUUUAAUCUAUCAAUAAAUACCCUUUAGUCUCUCCAUAUUAACUCAAAACAUUCAUCUCGCAGAAAAUGACAAGUUGUGUUGCAGCAGUGCAAAGGACAUUAGCUACUUCAGCAAAUCCUGCAUCCCAAACUCAGCCUGAUGAAUCAAAACAAAUCCCAAAUCCUGAAAAAAAAAAAACAACCAUUUCCCUUCCAAAUUACAUGUUCAUUUCGCAUCCCUUCCAUUCUUGAAUCAGCAACAUCGCUAAUCAUAGAAGACUUGAGCAAAUUUGGGCUAUACUAUGUUGAAUUCAUGUGGAUAGUCCUUUUCAUCGCACUUAUUCCUGAACGUAAAGUUCCGUUAGUCUGUUUAGUUGCCAUGAAAGGAGGUGGCAAUUUUGUACUUGCUAUUUCUUCGUUCAGUGGCCAAUUCUGUUCUGUUUCUUUGGCUUAUCGCAUUCGAUACAAGGCCUAUUGUUCUGCCACUGCUAGCAAUUGGGACAUGUUGUGCUCUUAUUAUCACUGGUGCUGGAAUCCAUCUUUUAAUUACUUUGGCUCUAACUUUUCCAAUUGUUUUGGCUCAUAUAGUACUGUGUAUAGCAGAUGAUUGUUCUUUCAAUGAGGAAAUUAGUCAAGAAUCUGUAUCCCUUGAUAAUACUGUGUAAAAUUAGGCCAAUUUUGUUUGGUGAUUUGUUGCAAUAAAGUCAAGGAUGUUGAGUUUGUCUCAACUUAUAUUUCUUCAGCUACUUCAAUUAUGAUUUUUAAUUUAAUAUUUACAAAGCAGCUUUGAUUAUAAUUCUACAACUGCUUCUACGUCUAAUAAUUAAUAAUUUAAAAAUUUUAAAAUACAUACAAAAAAUUUAUUUGCAUCACAAAAAUUGAGAUAAUUAAAUUAUCUGUUCGGCCAUAUGAGCACGGGGUCAUGAUUAGUAUAUAUACAAAUUUUUGAAUCUCCUGCAUAGAAGACUAAAAGUUAACUUAGAAGUUAAGAGGUUUCAAAAUACACUUGAAUAUUUUUGGCUUACAUACUAGAUACAAGAAAAAUAAGUCAUAAAAACUCAGGUCGACAUCUUAUCUUGUACACAACAAAAGUUCACAGAAAAUCAAGAACCCCUGAAGCUCAAAAAAAACCCUACAACUCCCCCAAAAACAUGCUUCUACAGCCCACCACCACCGUUAAACCCCCACAUCAAAAAUCUGAAACCCAUGCCUCUUUUUCAUCGUCCCUCUCUUAUUCACUCUCUUUCCCAUCUGGGUUUUGCAAUUUGGGUGGUUUUACUAAACCCCUGAUGUGCCCAAAGAAUCAUUCGCAGGUGCAUAGCUAUGGGACUGUUGAUUACGAGAGACGGCCGAUAGUGAAAUUGAAUGCUAUUUACAAAAGAAUAUCUAUGAAUGAUGGCCCCCAAAAAGGCUCUGUUAGUGUGCUGAAUCAAUGACAGAAUGAGGGGAAAAAAGUUACAAAACGGGAGCUUUGUAGGGUCAUUAAGGAGCUAAGGAAGUCUAAGCGUUAUAACCUGGCUCUUGAGGUACCAAAUCAAUUAAAGUUUGAAUCAUUUUGUGGGGUUUUAUCUUAUUAUUGGUUGAAUUUGUACGUUGAACCAUUUAAUUUGAGUUUGCUAAGUUGAUUUGUUAUUAUUUGUGUUCUCUCUGUUGUUUUGCUUGGAUUCUUAGCUUUGGUAUAAGAUAGUUCAAAUUAUGAAGAUAGAUGGAAUUAAACAUCUGAAACAUGCUGUCGUGUACCACAACUGUGCAUUUCCCUACAAUUUCCAAUUUAAUAGAAGUUCUAGUCAAUGGCAUUAAGAAACUUAUAUUUACAAAACUUUGGACAUAAGUGAAAAUUACCAUCCUCCUAACUAUGUAACGAGCACGAGUGGCCCAAAAUUGUACUGAUCAUUGUGCAAUGUGCACUAUGUUUUUGUCUAUUUGGUGACUAAGUGAGAAUAAUGAUCUAAAAGAAUUCAAAUUCUGGACAUGUUUAUCACUCUGUCUGAACCAAGUGCAGAAGUCUGAAAGUUGUUGAAUGAGCAUCAAUGGACUUCUUGUGGUCAAGACUUGCCAGCUAGACUGAAUAGAAAUUUAAAUUGGUAUACUAGAGAAAUAUGCAAUUUUUCUGUUAGUCCUAUGAUAAAAACUUGAUUAAUCAUUCUUGUAUUGGAUUCUUGAUUCCAUUACUCGUUUAACUCAUUGAGUUUACUGUAUUUCUCCAUGUAAUGUAAUUCCAUUGGGGCUUGACUUAACCUUGUAUCCUUCAGUUGCAUGAGUGGAUGAACAAUGGAGCAGAGAGGUUUAGAAUAACCACCAGUGAUACUGCUAUUCAUUUAGACCUGAUAGCAAAAGUACAUGGAAUAUCAAGUGCUGAAGAAUACUUCAUAAAGUUGCCAGACACCUUAAAUGAUAAGCGGAUAUAUGGGUCUCUUUUAAAUGCGUUUGUGCGGUCUAGAAAGAAGGAACAAGCUGAAUCUUUACUUGAGAAAAUGAGAAACAGAGGCUACACUGAUCAUGCUCUUCCGUUCAAUGUGAUGAUGACACUCUAUAUGAACCUUAAAGACUACGACAAGGUUGAGUCAGUUGUUUCAGAAAUGAAAGAGAAACAAAUUCCAUUAGAUAUAUAUUCGUACAAUAUCUGGUUGUCAUCUUGUGGAUCUCAAGGAUCUAUAGAAAAAAUGGAAAAAGUACUUGAACAAAUGAAUCUGGACGCUGAUAUCAAUCCAAAUUGGACUACAUUUAGCACUAUGGCUACUAUGUACAUUAAGUUGGGGCAGUUGGAAAAAGCUGAAGAUUCUUUAAGAAAUGUUGAGAGCAGAAUCACAGGUCGUGAUCGAAUUCCAUAUCAUUAUCUCAUCAGUCUCUAUGGUAGUCUUGGUAAAAAGGAAGAGGUUCUCCGGAUCUGGAAAACCUACCAAUCGCAGUUUUCAAAUAUUCCAAACCUGGGUUAUCAUUCUGUAAUAUCUUCUCUGGUGAGGUUGGAUGAUAUUGAAGGUGCAGAAAAGAUGUAUGAUGAGUGGCUACCCAUUAAGGUGCACUAUGAUCCUAGAAUAGGAAAUCUGUUGUUGGAUUAUUAUGUGAGGAAGGGUUUUCUGGACAAGUCUAGUGCUUUCUUCGACCAAAUGAUUGAAGCUGNUUUUGUCUAUUUGGUGACUAAGUGAGAAUAAUGAUCUAAAAGAAUUCAAAUUCUGGACAUGUUUAUCACUCUGUCUGAACCAAGUGCAGAAGUCUGAAAGUUGUUGAAUGAGCAUCAAUGGACUUCUUGUGGUCAAUACUUGCCAGCUAGACUGAAUAGAAAUUUAAAUUGGUAUACUAGAGAAAUAUGCAAUUUUUCUGUUAGUCCUAUGAUAAAAACUUGAUUAAUCAUUCUUGUAUUGGAUUCUUGAUUCCAUUACUCGUUUAACUCAUUGAGUUUACUGUAUUUCUCCAUGUAAUGUAAUUCCAUUGGGGCUUGACUUAACCUUGUAUCCUUCAGGUGUAUGAGUGGAUGAACAAUAGAGCAGAGAGGUUUAGAAUAACCACCAGUGAUACUGCUAUUCAAUUAGACCUGAUAGCAAAAGUACAUGGAAUAUCAAGUGCUGAAGAAUACUUCAUAAAGUUGCCAGACACCUUAAAAGAUAAGCGGAUAUAUGGGUCUCUUUUAAAUGCGUUUGUGCGGUCUAGAAAGAAGGAACAAGCUGAAUCUUUACUUGAGAAAAUGAGAAACAGAGGCUACACUGAUCAUGCUCUUCCGUUCAAUGUGAUGAUGACACUCUAU
This 6579-nucleotide long non-coding RNA is filed under the name Solanum pimpinellifolium. RNAcentral's name for it is "long non-coding RNA (SPIM_LNC000021)". The record is from RNAcentral. Lineage: Eukaryota; Viridiplantae; Streptophyta; Magnoliopsida; Solanales; Solanaceae.